UCCCCAGAGGCAAAGUUCCACAGCAAUCAUAAGUGGUAGUAGCACUGGCAGUAGUAUAGUGUUGGCCGCUGUCUUGCAUGCUUUCUGCGCAACCCCAUGCCUCUUGGUGACAGUUGCUAAGUAACUGGACAUGUCAAGAGCCUACCGAAGAGCGUGGGGCUUUACUGUGAAAAGGUAUGCUGGAUCAUUUGGCCCAUGCUUCUGCGAAAAUUGUAAUUAUUUUCUAUAAUUAAACUGUAUGAUCAAUAUACCACACACUUAGUCAUGCCAUUAGAGACCACAUGAGAAAUAAGGACUGUACAAAUAGCCAUGAUCUAUCUGCUCCCUGCGGACGAGGUAACCCCAUGACCUACGGACGAGGUAACCCCAUGACCAACGGACGAGAUGAGAACACACAGAGGAUUAAAGGAGAUGAGCCACUCUCUGAGCAGAGUUAUAAAGCCAAGAGCCUAUUACCAACAACCAGCACGAGGAGCAUCUCUCUGUCAGACUGCUCUGCAAACACGUGGCCUGAUGUUAUCACCUGUAGUGUUUUUCAGUAUCCCCAUGUUAGCCACUCCAUUGUCUAGGGCUAUAUAGCUAAAUAAUUAAUGGGUUGUUCCAUUUGAUUUCAAUCACUUCUUGAAUGCACCCCUUUUGAUUUGAUCAAAACUUUCCAUACAUAUUUUCCCAUGGUAGAAGUGGCCAGAAAGUAAUUUUUUGGACCGAAAUGCCAAAACAUUCAGGAGAUACAGGUGUUCAAAGUUAACCCAUUUUCCAUACCCCACCAUACCAUGAGACAUCAAAGUCUUCAUCUCUGAAAAAUAUGGAUGGUUAAGAUUGAUAUCAUUUAAAAGCUUACAAACAGUGUUAUCAAACUAAUUUAUAAUUUCUUGAUAAAAAAAAAUUAUGCAUAUUUUUUUAGCUUUAACGAGUUUUUAAAUAAUAGAGAUUAAAGG
RNAcentral lists this long non-coding RNA (938 nucleotides) under Salmo salar (Atlantic salmon). RNAcentral describes it as "lncRNA (ENSSSAG00000108868.1, ENSSSAG00020069112.1)". The record is from RNAcentral. Lineage: Eukaryota; Metazoa; Chordata; Actinopteri; Salmoniformes; Salmonidae.